Molecule: non-coding RNA, 339 nt
Filed under: Perkinsus marinus ATCC 50983
Lineage: Eukaryota; Perkinsozoa; Perkinsida; Perkinsidae
Description: Eukaryotic large subunit ribosomal RNA
Rfam family: Eukaryotic large subunit ribosomal RNA
Source: Rfam by way of RNAcentral
AUGCCGUUGUCUGAAAAGACAGUACGGCGAAGCUACCAUCUGCUGGAUUACGGCUGAACGCCUCUAAGCCGGAAUCCAUGCUGGAUAAGCAGUGUUGUACACCGUGCUCAAUGCUACAAGAAAAAGGCUAGGUCAGGCUUCGGCCUGACCAAAAUUCAAGCUGCUAUACCUCUGGCUGCAUUGACUUGUGGUCAGAGUGUAUGGUGAUCAUAGCAAUUGCAAGUAUUGGGCUCGAUAAAUCCUUUGAAGACGACUUAAUUGCAUCCGGGUAUUGUAAGUGUUGAGAGUAGGCUUAGUCUUACGAUCCACUGAGAUUCAUCCCGUGUUGCGCCGAUUUGU